RNAcentral lists this ribosomal RNA (490 nucleotides) under uncultured bacterium. Its description in RNAcentral is "partial 16S ribosomal RNA". It matches the Rfam family "Bacterial small subunit ribosomal RNA", at positions 29 to 507 of the family's 1533-position model. The record is from RNAcentral.
AGUGAACGCUGGCGGUAGGCCUAACACAUGCAAGUCGAACGGCAGCACAGGAGAGCUUGCUCUCUAGGUGGCGAGUGGCGGACGGGUGAGGAAUACAUCGGAAUCUGCCCAGUCGUGGGGGAUAACGUAGGGAAACUUACGCUAAUACCGCAUACGACCUUCGGGUGAAAGAGGGGGAUCGCAAGACCUCUCUCGAUUGGAUGAGCCGAUGUCGGUUUAGCUAGUUAGCGGGGUAAUGGCCCACCAAGGCGACGAUCCGUAGCUGGUCUGAGAGGAUGAUCAGCCACACUGGAACUGAGACACGGUCCAGACUCCUACGGGAGGCAGCAGUGGGGAAUAUUGGACAAUGGGCGCAAGCCUGAUCCAGCCAUACCGCGUGGGUGAAGAAGGCCUUCGGGUUGUAAAGCCCUUUUGUUGGGAAAGAAAUCUUUCAGGCUAAUACCCUGGGAGGAUGACGGUACCCAAAGAAUAAGCACCGGCUAACUUCGUG